AUGCCUUUUACCCGUAUGCAUGGCAUUGCGAGGAUGCUAGUCAGUGUUAUUGAUUCGGAGUAUGUUCCGGAUUCUGUUCCGUGGGUGUAUGAUGGAGUGGUGCAUGAUAUCCAGGUUGUGGUUGAGGAGGGCCAUGCGACAGAUAAUGGCUCUACAAGUAAAGAUGUGGACAUGACCGACGGUGGUGAUGAUAACGGUAACAAAGAGGCGGAGGGAAAGUCUGGUGGUUUUGGUGGACAGAAUCUACCGGUGGCAAAGCCCGCUCAGUCGGCGCAGCCGAGGAUUGAUAAGGGGUUGGCCCCUUCUUCCACUCCCACAACUUCUCUGUGUUUUGGAUCAUUUCAGGCGAUGUCAGCACCAAGUCGCUUAUCGUGA
This 375-nucleotide ribosomal RNA is filed under the name Triticum aestivum (bread wheat). RNAcentral's name for it is "partial small subunit ribosomal RNA". The record is from RNAcentral. Lineage: Eukaryota; Viridiplantae; Streptophyta; Magnoliopsida; Poales; Poaceae.